GUGGGGCCUGAUGUGUGGUUCAAGCGAUGGGGUGACACAGUGGGGUAGCCAUGCCGCUUAGUGGAUUGUUGGUGUAAGCGUGUAGGUGAUGGUGUAGGUAAAUCCGCACUUGUUAUGCUGAGACGUGAUGCGUAGCCUUAAUUGGUGAAGUUGGUGAUCCCGUACUGUCGAGAAAAGCCUCUAGCGAUGUAUAUACUCGGCCCGUACCCCAAACCGACACAGGUAGUCAGGUUGAAAAUACUAAGGCGUUCGGGUGAACUGUGGUUAAGGAACUCGGCAAAAUGCCCCCGUAACUUCGGGAGAAGGGGGACCCUAUGGCGUGAACACCCAUUUGCGGUGGGAAGCGUUGUGGGGUCGCAGAGAAUAGAGGGAAGCGACUGUUUAUCAAAAACACAGGUCCAUGCGAAGACGUUAAGUUGAUGUAUAUGGACUGACGCCUGCCCGGUGCUGGAAGGUUAAGAGGACCGGUUAAUCAAGCUUUGCUUGGUGAAGCUGAGAAUUUAAGCCCCAGUAAACGGCGGUGGUAACUAUAACCAUCCUAAGGUAGCGAAAUUCCUUGUCGGGUAAGUUCCGACCUGCACGAAUGGCGUAACGACUUCCCUGCUGUCUCAACCACAGGCCCGGUGAAAUUGCACUACGAGUAAAGAUGCUCGUUACGCGCGGCAGGACGAAAAGACCCCGGGACCUUCACUAUAGCUUGGUAUUGGUGUUCGGUUCGGUUUGUGUAGGAUAGGUGGGAGACUAUGAGGCGUGUGCGCCAGCACGCGUGGAGUCGUUGUUGAAAUACCACUCUGAUCGGAUUGGAUACCUUAACCUUGGCCCAUGAUCUGGGUUGGGGACAGUGCCUGGUGGGUAGUUUAACUGGGGCGGUUGCCUCCCAAAAUGUAACGGAGGCGCCCAAAGGUUCCCUCAGCCUGGUUGGCAAUCAGGUGGUGAGUGUAAGUGCACAAGGGAGCUUGACUGUGAGAGUGACAGCUCGAACAGGGACGAAAGUCGGGACUAGUGAUCCGGCACCUACUUGUGGAUGUGGUGUCGCUCAACGGAUAAAAGGUACCCCGGGGAUAACAGGCUGAUCUUCCCCAAGAGUCCAUAUCGACGGGAUGGUUUGGCACCUCGAUGUCGGCUCGUCGCAUCCUGGGGCUGGAGUAGGUCCCAAGGGUUGGGCUGUUCGCCCAUUAAAGCGGCACGCGAGCUGGGUUCAGAACGUCGUGAG
This 1213-nucleotide ribosomal RNA is filed under the name Corynebacterium striatum. RNAcentral's name for it is "partial 23S ribosomal RNA". It matches the Rfam family "Bacterial large subunit ribosomal RNA", at positions 1438 to 2625 of the family's 2925-position model. Lineage: Bacteria; Bacillati; Actinomycetota; Actinomycetes; Mycobacteriales; Corynebacteriaceae. The record is from RNAcentral.